RNAcentral lists this long non-coding RNA (445 nucleotides) under Androctonus crassicauda. The record is from RNAcentral. Lineage: Eukaryota; Metazoa; Arthropoda; Arachnida; Scorpiones; Buthidae.
GAGAAGGGGUGCCAUUUUCUAAUAGCUGUGUUCGAUUUGACUACAUCGUUACACUAGUGUAAGACGGUGUAGCACUGAGACAUUCGAUUUGGUCAGUGUAGUUCCACUAACGCAUUCGAUUUAUCGGUGUAACGUAAAAUUUCUACACUAUUCUACACUGACUGGAGAGAGGGUGUAGCAGUGUAGAAAGUAAAAUAAAAUGGCGUCAAUAGAUGGGACAGUAUAUCAGUGUGGGAAUUGCCUGAAUUUUUUUAAUAAAAAAGAAGAUAUAUUUCAACAUGAAUGUUUCAUAAUAUCGGCACCGAAUAAUCAAGAAUCCGACGAAUCGACCAAAAGAAACGAAACUCAAAUAAAUGCUAGCUGGAAUGAUAAACAAACAAAAAUGUUAAUUUCGUUAUAUUCCCAGAAUCAUAAUUUAGUCGGUAAAGGUACAAAUAAAAAAUUU